GUGUCAGCAGCCGCGGUAAUACGGAGGGUGCAAGCGUUAUCCGGAUUCACUGGGUUUAAAGGGUGCGUAGGCGGACAUUUAAGUCAGAGGUGAAAUCCUGCAGCUUAACUGCAGAACUGCCUUUGAUACUAUUUGUCUUGAAUGUCGUGGAGGUCAGCGGAAUAUGUCAUGUAGCGGUGAAAUGCUUAGAUAUGACAUAGAACACCUAUUGCGAAGGCAGCUGACUACGCGAAUAUUGACGCUGAGGCACGAAAGCGUGGGGAUCAAACAGGAUUAGAUACCCUGGUAGUCCACGCCCUAAACGAUGAUUACUCGACAUUAGCGAUACACUGUUAGUGUCUGAGCGAAAGCAUUAAGUAAUCCACCUGGGAAGUACGACCGCAAGGUUGAA
Molecule: ribosomal RNA, 391 nt
Filed under: uncultured bacterium
Lineage: Bacteria
Description: bacterial SSU rRNA
Rfam family: Bacterial small subunit ribosomal RNA
Source: RNAcentral